RNAcentral lists this ribosomal RNA (467 nucleotides) under uncultured bacterium. Its description in RNAcentral is "partial 16S ribosomal RNA". It matches the Rfam family "Bacterial small subunit ribosomal RNA", at positions 29 to 507 of the family's 1533-position model. The record is from RNAcentral.
ACGAACGCUGGCGGCGUGCUUAACCCCUGCAAGUCGAACGGAAAGGCCCUGCUUUUGUGGGGUGCUCGAGUGGCGAACGGGUGAGUAACACGUGAGUAACCUGCCCUUGACUUUGGGAUAACUUCAGGAAACUGGGGCUAAUACCGGAUAGGAGCUCCUGCUGCAUGGUGGGGGUUGGAAAGUUUCGGCGGUUGGGGAUGGACUCGCGGCUUAUCAGCUUGUUGGUGGGGUAGUGGCUUACCAAGGCUUUGACGGGUAGCCGGCCUGAGAGGGUGACCGGCCACAUUGGGGCUGAGAUACGGCCCAGACUCCUACGGGAGGCAGCAGUGGGGAAUAUUGCACAAUGGGCGGAAGCCUGAUGCAGCAACGCCGCGUGCGGGAUGACGGCCUUCGGGUUGUAAACCGCUUUCGCCUGUGACGAAGCGUGAGUGACGGUAAUGGGCAAAGAAGCACCGGCUAACUACGUG